Molecule: ribosomal RNA, 980 nt
Filed under: uncultured bacterium
Lineage: Bacteria
Description: bacterial SSU rRNA
Rfam family: Bacterial small subunit ribosomal RNA
Source: RNAcentral
AUUGAACGCUGGCGGCAGGCUUAACACAUGCAAGUCGAGCGGAAACGAGAAUAGCUUGCUAUUCGGCGUCGAGCGGCGGACGGGUGAGUAAUGCUUGGGAAUAUGCCUAAUGGUGGGGGACAACAGUUGGAAACGACUGCUAAUACCGCAUAAUGUCUACGGACCAAAGGAGGGGAUUCUUCGGAACCUUUCGCCAUUUGAUUAGCCCAAGUGAGAUUAGCUAGUAGGUAAGGUAAUGGCUUACCUAGGCGACGAUCUCUAGCUGGUUUGAGAGGAUGAUCAGCCACACUGGGACUGAGACACGGCCCAGACUCCUACGGGAGGCAGCAGUGGGGAAUAUUGCACAAUGGGCGAAAGCCUGAUGCAGCCAUGCCGCGUGUGCGAAGAAGGCCUUCGGGUUGUAAAGCACUUUCAGCGAGGAGGAAAGGGUGUAGGUUAAUACUCUGCAUCUGUGACGUUACUCGCAGAAGAAGCACCGGCUAACUUCGUGCCAGCAGCCGCGGUAAUACGAGGGGUGCAAGCGUUAAUCGGAAUUACUGGGCGUAAAGCGUGCGUAGGUGGUUUGUUAAGCAAGAUGUGAAAGCCCCGGGCUCAACCUGGGAACUGCAUUUUGAACUGGCAAACUAGAGUUUUGUAGAGGGUAGUGGAAUUUCCAGUGUAGCGGUGAAAUGCGUAGAGAUUGGAAGGAACAUCAGUGGCGAAGGCGGCUACCUGGACAGAGACUGACACUGAGGCACGAAAGCGUGGGGAGCAAACAGGAUUAGAUACCCUGGUAGUCCACGCCGUAAACGAUGUCAACUAGCCGUCUGUAGACUUGAUCUGUGGGUGGCGUAGCUAACGCGCUAAGUUGACCGCCUGGGGAGUACGGCCGCAAGGUUAAAACUCAAAUGAAUUGACGGGGGCCCGCACAAGCGGUGGAGCAUGUGGUUUAAUUCGGUGCAACGCGAAGAACCUUACCAUCCCUUGACAUCCUACUAGGU